AGGACGAACGCUGGCGGUGUGCUUCACACAUGCAAGUCGAACGAGGUAGCAAUACCUAGUGGCGGACGGGUGAGUAACGCGUGGGAAUCUGCCUUUAGAUGGGGGAUAACGGGCCGAAAGGUCCGCUAAUACCGCAUAGGCCGCAAGGUUAAAGGAGUAAUCCGUCUAAAGAUGAGCCCGCGUCCGAUUAGCUAGUUGGUAGGGUAAAAGCCUACCAAGGCGACGAUCGGUAGCUGGUCUGAGAGGAUGAUCAGCCACAUUGGGACUGAGACACGGCCCAAACUCCUACGGGAGGCAGCAGUGGGGAAUAUUGGACAAUGGGCGCAAGCCUGAUCCAGCCAUGCCGCGUGAGUGAUGAAGGCCCUAGGGUUGUAAAGCUCUUUUGUGCGGGAAGAUAAUGACGGUACCGCAAGAAUAAGCCCCGGCUAACUUCGUGCCAGCAGCCGC
RNAcentral lists this ribosomal RNA (447 nucleotides) under uncultured bacterium. RNAcentral's name for it is "SSU rRNA". It matches the Rfam family "Bacterial small subunit ribosomal RNA", at positions 26 to 518 of the family's 1533-position model. The record is from RNAcentral.